GAGCGGCGGACGGGUGAGUAACGCGUGGGUAACCUGCCUCAUACGGGGGGAUAACAGUUGGAAACGGCUGCUAAUACCGCAUAAGCGCACAGUACCGCAUGGUACGGUGUGAAAAACUCCGGUGGUAUGAGAUGGACCCGCGUCUGAUUAGGUAGUUGGUGGGGUAACGGCCUACCAAGCCGACGAUCAGUAGCCGACCUGAGAGGGUGACCGGCCACAUUGGGACUGAGACACGGCCCAA
This 241-nucleotide ribosomal RNA is filed under the name uncultured bacterium. Its description in RNAcentral is "partial 16S ribosomal RNA". It matches the Rfam family "Bacterial small subunit ribosomal RNA", at positions 93 to 334 of the family's 1533-position model. The record is from RNAcentral.